GAUGAACGCUGGCGGCGUGCCUAUAAAAUGAAAGCGGAGCGAACAGAUGGGGAGCUGGCUCCCCUACGGUAAGCGGGGGCGGGGGGAGAAAACCGUGGAAAACCAACCUUUAGGCCUGGGUAACCUUCGGGAACCGGGAGCAAUUACGGGAUAAAAUAUUAACCGGCUGGGUCAAUAAGUGAAAGAGGGUUUUGUUGUAACUAUAAGAUGGAUCCGCGCCGCAUUAGCUAGUUGGUAAGGUAACGGCUUACCAAGGCAACGAUGCGUAGCCGACCUGAGAGGGUGAUCGGCCACACUGGAACUGAGACACGGUCCAGACUCCUACGGGAGGCAGCAGUAGGGAAUCUUCCGCAAUGGGCGAAAGCCUGACGGAGCAACGCCGCGUGAGUGAUGAAGGUCUUCGGAUCGUAAAACUCUGUUAUUAGGGAAGAACAAAUGUGUAAGUAACUAUGCACGUCUUGACGGUACCUAAUCAGAAAGCCACGGCUAACUACGUG
RNAcentral lists this ribosomal RNA (497 nucleotides) under uncultured bacterium. RNAcentral's name for it is "partial 16S ribosomal RNA". It matches the Rfam family "Bacterial small subunit ribosomal RNA", at positions 28 to 507 of the family's 1533-position model. The record is from RNAcentral.